RNAcentral lists this long non-coding RNA (5716 nucleotides) under Homo sapiens (human). Its description in RNAcentral is "HSALNT0223046". Lineage: Eukaryota; Metazoa; Chordata; Mammalia; Primates; Hominidae. The record is from RNAcentral.
GCAGGGAGAAGGGCUCUUGACUCUGUGGCAGUGUGGCCACGUUUCCAUGUGUCCAUGUGUCCAUGUGGGCUGCUGUAGGCCCUGGCUCACUGGUCCCAGGACCUGUGGCUAAAAGGAGGCAUUGCUGGAGGCCUCUCUUGAGAGGUGGGUACGUGGGCCAUGCUGCCUAUGCCCUCCUCAGGUCCCCAGAAGGAGCACUUCCAAGGGGUGCUGAGUCGGGGGAGGUGGGCAGGAAAAGAUGCCAGGGAAAGUUCUGAGCCCAGGUAGGAGUGACAGUGAUGUGUGGUGGAGAUCCUACAGCCAAACGAGGAGCAGUUAACAAUGCCACUUCAAAAACAGCGCCUGAGGCUCAGAAAGAAGGUGUAUCUUGCCAACCAUCACACAGCAAGUCACCAGCAGAGCUGAGACCAGAACCCAAGCUCCUGGUCCAGGGCUCAGUCAUUGAUUGUUCCAGCCACACGUGGCUGGUGCCAGGGGCCCGUCCGGUCUACUCCCUGCGGUGACUCUUUCUCCUGCCUCCCAACUCCAGAAAAGGAUCCUGCUGGGGAGCCUGGGGUGAGAUCCCAAGAGCCUUUCCGUGUGGACGUGGACAUAGUGGGGUAGGUCGAGAGACCAAAGCAGGAUUCUAACAGGCCUGGACAUAUGUCAUGGGCCAUCAAGACCAUCUGCAUGAAGGUCUUUUGCUACAGAAGUGAGGUGGCUUUUUGCAGCUGCUCAGGAGAACAAUCUGGCGUAGAAGUGGGAAGGUAAGUCUGGGUCUUUCUGGAGUACGAUUGGCCCUUGACCAGUCUCAGGGACGUGUGUCCAGGCCCUGUGAGGAGAGGGACCACAGGCAGAAGGGGCAGGAGUGUUGGAGCCAGCCAAUGGAGCUUUGAGUCCUAGGUGGGGUGUGGUUCCCAGUGGAGGCCUUCCCCCAUCUUCUCAGAACCCAGCAUGGCUUCAGCACUGUGUGGAUGACAGGGAGCUGACUUUGUAACUUUGGAGGAGAUUGGGAAACAAGGCCCUUUGGGCAGAGGACAUCACAAGGGGCCCAGAGAUGGAGAGGAACAAAUCCUGCGGCUCUGCCUGCUCCCUGUCCCCUGCACUUCACUUCCCCUCACCUGCCCAAAGACAGAUCCAAGCUAGAGGCCUGGUCAGGCCCUGGAGAAAAGCUGGGGGGUUCGGGAGGAGAGGGUGGAGCAAGAUUGGCCCACACUACAUUGCCUUCCCCGCAUCCUCGCUUGCACCUGCCAGGGCCUGCAUGAGCCUCCUCAAGGGCCUGGGCUCAGGACCCCAGAGCCAGCAAGGAGCCCUGCGCUCCAUUUCUGUGUGGCUGGCCUGGGAAAGGCCUCUGUCUCCUCCGCUGUAAAAUGGCAUGUGGAGGGGGAGAGGGAGGCCAGGACUACGCCCACGUGGGUCCCUCCUCAUAGACCCAGCCUGCCUUCCCAGCUCGAGCCCCUGAGACAGCCCCCAUUCGUCUCCCCUUUUCAGCGGACCACCUCGUUCCACGUUCUAAGAUCAAACUCUUGGUACUUGGGAAGGACCUUAGAAAGCAGCUGAUGUGCCGUGUCUGUUGUUCAGAUGGGGACAGUGAAGCACAGGGAGGUUUGGCCUUGCCCCUCUAGGGAGUCUGUAGCAGCGCUAAGACCAGGGCCCUGUGCUCUGGUGUCAGGCCUGCUCUCCCCUACCCCUUGGCGCUUCUGAGCAGGAGGCAGACAGCAUUUUCUCUGAUCUGAGCAGGGGGCGUGGGGGUGGGGGUGGCUGCCUCCUCCCUCAGGGGCCCCAGGCUAGUCCAGACAGGCUCGGCAGGAAUCUGCUCUGGUUGGAGCCGCCUCCCUGAGGGCUGCCCCAGGCGGGGCCCGGGGCCUCGAGGUCCUGGGGACGUGCUUUCUGUUUACUUUCUGCCGGGCUUCCACAGCGUUGUGGUUUCCACUUGGAAGGGCUGCAGUGGGAACUGAGGGGCCUGCUCCGGGGGCUGAGCUGCAUCUGUGGGAAAGCCCUGCAGCCGCUCUGCUGCUGAAAGUUUGGAAUUCAGCAGACCCCAUCCCUGAAUUCCCAUGCGGUGGGCUCAGCCCUGGCUCUUCCAGCUACUGGCUCUACCCGGGCCAGUUUAGAGUGAGAGGGUGGCCAGAUCCUCCUGGGGGGACCAGAGAAUGGGGCGUUGGAAGACCUAGGUUGGAGCCUCACCUCUGCCCUAUCUUCGCUGUGUGACCUUGAGCAGGUCACUCUAACUCUUGCCGCCUCAGCUUCCUAACAGCGCCCCUGCCCGGCCUCUCUUGCAGGCCCACAGAAUGAAAAGAGAGGAGUUCCAGGAAAGGGUUUGGCAGAUGGCAUCCCUGCAGGACUGCCUCGCGGCGCUCUGCCCCAUCCAGCCCCUACGUACUGGCCAUGUGACCUCAAUGUUUGAUGGACUCACUUGGCCUCUCUGAGGCUCGCUUUCUCCAUCUCUAAAAUGGAGGAUGAAGCAGGUUCAGCCCCACGGGCAGGCAGCACUAUGCCAGGGACAUGGCGAGCCCUCUGGAAAAGUUCACCUGAUCCAGACGUUGCUGGGUCAACGGGAAGGAAUGACUUUCACUCCUCUGCUUCAAACCACCAGACUGUCCUUGGCCCUCCCUAAUGAAGGAGCAGAGAACAGCAGAGUGGGCAGGGACCUUGGAGGUCAGCAGGGUGGCUGCUCAGCCCAGAGGCAACCGGGAGCUCGUCCCAGGGUGUGACAAUUCAGUCAGCCCUUUACUGAACACUCGGCUUUAAACCGCCUCAUGCCUGGCAUGAGGAAGGCACCGUGCUGGAGGGUUUCACCACGGUUCUCUGUGUGUCUCCGGGGAGCUCACUGUCCUGUCUGAGGCCCGUCCGGGGUCCGGACAGUGGAGCUUUCAGGUUCGUGCGCACCCUCUGCCUGCCUCUUCUCCCUGUCAGUAAGGACGUGGGUGUGGCUGGGAGGCAGAUCCUGGGUGGAGAACGGAGCUCCUGGUUCUGAACAGUUUGAGGGUCUGGAAGUCCUUUAAGAAGAUGGUGAAAACUAUGGACCUUCUCCCCAAAGAGAAGCACACAUCCACAUCCAGAGGCAAAAACCCCAUCGCUCAGAACCCCGUGGAUGAGGCAGUCAUUAUCCAGUGGUGCUGUCACUAUGGCUGGGGCUGGCCUUGAUCUCUGUUGCUGGAUUCCACAUGUUCAUUCUCUCUGGCCACAUUAUCAGAUCUCUAGCUCCAACAUCCUGUGUGAUACCAGGAUGGCCAUUGCCAUGAUCUUGUCCACGGGUCCACUUUCAGCAGCUGGGCCCUGGAGGGCAGCACACAGCUCAUGAUUGGGUUGGAGAUGGGGGAGUCAGGGGCAGAUGGUGGGAGCUGUCCCCAGCCCUGCCUCUCUUAGGACCCUCCUGGGACUCAGGUACAUAGGGUCCCUGAGAAAGACCCAGUUUGAUGAGACAGGCAGGAGGAAUAAGGAAGAGUGUAGUUUAAGAAAGUUUUCUCCAGCUCUGGUUCAUGCAUCCGUCCUGAAAGAAGGCAGGGAAAGGAUUAUUCACCCAUUUCACAGAUGAAGAAAUUGAGGCUUGGAGAGGUCACGGAGCACACAGAGCAAAGAAGUCAAAACCAGGAUUUGAAUCUACUCUGAUUACCUCCAGAGCCCAUGUCUUGUCCCAAUGGAUGGAAAAUUCUUAACUAUUUAACUCAAUAUUGAGCAGCUACUGUCUACAGAAUUCUGUGCCAGACAGCUUGGGAGACACAGACCUACAGGGAGAUAUAGUUCCCACUGGAAGCACCCAGGGCAGUAAUAAUUAUCAUCAUAACAAAGGAAUAAUAAUAGCUAACAUUUUGGAGCACUUACUAGGGACCAGCAUUAUGCUACACAGUUUUCAUGGAUUAUCUCAUUUAAGCUCUCAAAUAUUUUGGGGUGUAAAUAACAGUAUGCCCACAAUUUUUGUUUGUUGUUGGUGUUCAGAAGUGUAUAUCCGUUUUUGAGAAUGGAGGCUCAGCGAGAUUAGGAGCCUUGCUCUCAACGAGGGAGGAAUUCUGGCUGCGACUCUGUCCCUUACUACCUGGGCAUCACCUCUGUCAAACCUGGACAGGUGCCACUUAGACCUGGCUGAGGUUGGCUGAGGCGGGGAGGAUGGGGAGGUUGUGGGUAGGCAGCACCUAUUCAUACCCACAGUCCAGGGACUGUUCCAGAAGAAUAGUAUUCCCUGUGCCCUUGCCGCCUCUGAGCCUUGGUGUCCCAGCCUUUCGAUCCUCUCACUUCUGAUGUCCUUGAGCCAUAAUCUGAGCCAUUCUCUAGGAUAAGGAGAUGCUUGAGGUUGAGUGAAAGGUUGACAUUUCUGCAGGAGCAAAGAAUGACUUGAUGCAGGAGAGAAAGGCUGUGGGGGGAAAGUGAGUGAGGCAAAUCCCCAAGGCAGAGCAGAGCCUUCCAAAGGGUGCAGGGGAGAGUCUUGGUGGAGGGGGCCAGCCUUGCUCAGCAGCCCCAACCUCAACAAGGACCCCUACCCAAGAAGGCCUGCAAAAUAGCAAAUCAAUGAAGACAGCAAUGAAAGCAAUGAGGAGGGAAGAGGGACCAGAAUCCCAGUCACAUCAUCACCCCUCACCCCUUUUUCUGGCCUCAGUUUUCCUUCUGUGAACAGAGGGAGCUGGCCCUUCUGUCAUUUGCAGGAUUUUCAUCUCAGGCUGGCAGCAGGAGCUGGAAAAGUGAGGGAGGUCCCUCCCUUCCCCGGCCCGGGGUCUGUGAUUGGCAGCACCUCCUCCUCUCUUCCUCUCCUGUCCCUUCCUUCCCCUUCCCUCCCCUGCUUUCCUUUCCCUUCCCCUCCUCCCCUUCCCUUCCCCAGUCUUCCCCUCCCACUCUUUCAAGCCCCCAGCGUGCUGUGCAGUUAUUAGUUUAGGUUCAUUUAGAAUCGGCUUAGCAACCCCACACCCCUGGAACCUGGAAGCUUAAAGCACAAGAUGUCUGGCAAAUGGAAAUUCAAUUGCUUUAAUAUAGAGACUAUUUUGCUGCAGUCGAACUGGAGCCUCUUAUUAAGAAUCUGAUGGAAUUUCUAAACAGGGAGAGAGGCCCCAAGGAGGGGGCAUCGCCCAUCACACACCAACAUUGCUCUUGACAUAUUUAUGGCUCCAAUAAAAUCUCACAUCUGGUAUAUUUUAAAAUAAAAUUGAAAAUUUAUCACUUUCCCUGAGUCGGUUUGUCGUUCUCCCAAGGAGGAGAUAGCCAGCCUGAGAUUACAGGCGAAGCGGCAGCGGGCGGCAGGCGGGCAGAGAGGUUAGGCUGGGCUCUGAUUUAAAUUUCAAUACUUUCCCCAUUACAGCUGUCUGGGCUGGGAAAAUUACUAGGGGAAGCAGGCCAUGUGCUUCUCCUAUUUCUCUGGACAUCUACUUGGCUGUCUCUGCCAGGGUCCACAGACUUGGUCUGCUCUCCCCACUACUUAGCAAGGUUUGGAUGAACCACAAAAUGGGAGGAAGCCCCAUCCUCCAGGCCUAGGAAUCAGCAUCAUCCAUUUGUACCUCUCUGAAGCCCAGUGGACACCUUUGGGUGCUGCUACAUGGUUCGAGAGGGCCCCUCUUUAUCAGGACUCAGAGAUCAAGAUCAGGGCUUAGGCUCAGGUGGGGAGCAGGGUUCAGUCUGUAACUAGCAUUGGGGUUCAGUCUAAAACUAAGAUCAGAACUUCAACUCAGGCCAGGAUCAAGGAUCAGUCUGUAACCAAGGUCAGGGCUCAGGCUCAGGAUGGAAUCAAGGUUCAUUCCAUUAACAAAAACAG